AGGUGAAUUAAUAAACAUUGUUCCCGAUUCUCAGCCAAUAAAAAAUGGCGAACAGUUAUUACCUGAUGUGGAGGAUAAUUCUUUUGCUGCAGUUAAAACCCAGAAACGUCAGAUGUGUUGGAUACCUGAGACAGUAAUAUCACAUUGCAACAAACACAAUAGUAGUCAACAAGAAUCUUCUAAUCUAAGUGACAUAGUUGCGAAGCAAAAAGCAUUCUCUUCCAUAUUUGAAAUGAGUUCUACAGAGGUGAAAAGUAGACUGCAUUGUGAUGAAAAAAUAACGGCGCAGCGGCAUCAUGAAACUAAUAUAGUGGCAAUGAAAAGUGGCAAGAUAAACAGUGCAGAAAUGGGAAACAGUCUCAAGCCUUUGGAUGAGAAAAUAUCAAAAAGUACCAGCAAAAACCUUGUUUCCAGUAAACCUGAAGUUAAUAUUAGUGCCAACCAAAUGGAAGACAGUUCUCUCAAACAUUUAGGAUAUCCAAAGUCAGUAACUGCAACCAAUGAUGAUGAUGAAUUUGAUAUAUGUUAUAGGAAAAAAACUGUUAAUAAGAAAACUAAUCAGGUAAAAUGGAGCUGAAUUGUAGCUACUUAUAACAUUGUAACUCAUAUGAAAGCCCUCUUUCAGUUUACAUUGUAUCAUUCAUUGAAACAAGAUCAAUACAAAAUAUAUAGUUAAGAGUCUUGUGGGCCACCGAAUGACAUCACUUGUAUUUCUUAAUCAAAAUUUCACACUGAUUGAUUUUCUUCCUACAAUAAAGAAAGAUCCACAUAUACGUUUUCUUGUGGGCUGAAAAAGAAAUUUGAUGACAAGAUUGUUUGGGGAAACGGCCAAAAAGAACAGUA
Molecule: non-coding RNA, 843 nt
Organism: Anolis sagrei ordinatus
Lineage: Eukaryota; Metazoa; Chordata; Lepidosauria; Squamata; Anolidae
Source: RefSeq, a predicted model, not a curated record